AUGUACAAUGGAAGUUCCAGUGAUGAACGAAGUAGAAGCUCAAGUGAUCGCGGUGACUUCUGGAACACAUAUAGUGCAGGCAACAAGGGGAGUAAACAUGGGAGUGAUGGUCCAUCAUGGAGGAAGAGCUUACCAGCGGGAACGAAUGAAGACAAAUCAGGAAGAGAAGGAGAAGAGAAAGAAGUCACCAGCCCCCUAAAGAAAACUCAAGAUGAUACAAAUGGAGAUGCGAAAGGCAGGGAAUUGGUGUUUGAAGAGAACAAGCAGCCAGGGGAGACUACCUAUACAAAUUUGAAGCCUAGCUCCUGA
RNAcentral lists this ribosomal RNA (309 nucleotides) under Triticum aestivum (bread wheat). RNAcentral's name for it is "partial small subunit ribosomal RNA". The record is from RNAcentral. Lineage: Eukaryota; Viridiplantae; Streptophyta; Magnoliopsida; Poales; Poaceae.